Columba livia (rock pigeon) is the source of this 2268-nucleotide long non-coding RNA. RefSeq lists it as uncharacterized. Lineage: Eukaryota; Metazoa; Chordata; Aves; Columbiformes; Columbidae. The transcript is spliced from 4 exons. The record is from RefSeq and is a predicted model, not a curated record.
UUUCUGAUGAUUAAACCCUAGUGACAAUACGACUGGAUUCCUACAUCUGUCACAAUACUACCUGCUGAUACAUAAUGAGCUACUCUAAAAGAACUAGCUCUUGCUGCUCUUCAAUGCAGAUAAAAUGUCUAUUUGUAGAAUGUAAUUAAUCUCUUCUUCAAAAUCAGGAACCUUAGUGUCCUUGGUAACAACAUGCCAGUGACUCAGAGAGUGUCUCUGGCUUUUUCUUCUGAUUUUUGAGCGAGUUAUUGAAAGUGACCCCAAAUUCUAGCACUGAAAAGGUGCUGCGCUUCAGAAGUGGAAAAGCCAGCUGGGUAUCAGGAGGCAGGGAUAGGUUUUACCUGCACUCUGCAGGGCUCCUUCGGCAGCUUCAGGAGGUUCCUGUCCCUGUUUCAGCCACAUUCCCUGGGAUGAAACGAGUUCUCAUCCCAUCAAGCACAAAUUCCCUUUUACCAUCAGGCAUAACCAGGCUGGUACAAUACUGAAAGCAGAGCAAGAGUGAGGAUCCCAAGAUGAAGCUGCUCCCUCCUUUGCCUGGUUUCCACAGGCAAUAAGUCAGAGGUGUCAAAUUCAUUUUCACCGGGGGCCACAUCAGCCUCACAGUUCCCUUCAAAGGGCCAAAUGCAAUUUUAGGACUGUAUAAACGUGGCCCCGGUGAAAAUGAGUUUGACACCCCUGCAAAAAGUGGCUUAUUUCAGCCAAGUAUGGCCAGGGAUAAAGAUUCAAGGGCAUCCAGAACCUACCAGGUAGCAACAAUGCAAAGCCAUGAGCACUGGAAGAGCAGAGGAAUGUGGGGACAUGUGGCUGGCAGAGCCCUGGGUCCCUUUGAGGGCUGUACUUGGGCAUCGCCUGCUCCCCCAGCCACCCUGCCCCAGGCUGGCUGAGAUGGGUGCUGAAAAGGCAAAUUUGGGGCACUGGAAAGCACACAGAGGCCAAAUCCGCUUUCUAUGAAUUUCAGUGGGAAGCAACCACUGCUGGAUGUUGCUCACUGACCCAGUUCCAAAGCCCAGGGGACGGAUGGGCGGUGACAAAGGGAUGGCUGAUUGGAGAGAGUGGGUGAUGGAGGACUUGCAUGAUUUAUUUAGUUUCUGGAAGAAAAAAAAAAAACAAAACAGAAAAAAAAAGGAUUGUUGGAUAAAAUCAGCAUAUUCCAGGCUAAACUGUGCUGCAGCAAUACUUUGUGGGACAGGAGUUGAGGUGCUUGAUCUCAGCAAGCUAACAUCUUUCAUUUAAAAAGCCAAAUUAGUCCAGAGGCUCUGGUCCCACAAGGUUUCAGAGCAAUUUGCCCCUGGGCUGCAAUCGGCACAGCUCACCCAUCUCUGUCCCCAGGCACCCCGAGGGAGAGGACGAGACCAGAAGAGAGGCCGACUCUGACCCUCGCACCACGUAAUGCUGCUUCCGAGUGAAAACCAGAAUUUAUAGGUCUUUCUGCCUGCUGGGGAGGCUAUGAAGGCUCUAGAAAAACUGCUCACCCUGGGGGAAGGAAAUUAGAGCCCGAAACAGACAGAUUAGAAGGGAAAAAGCCCAUUUUUCCAUCAUUUUCAAUAGCAGCUCAGUUCCCAGUGACCCCAGGGACUGAAGGCCAGCACCAGGCUGCCCAUCUACGGCUCCCAGCAAAAGCUCCCCUGCAGCCAGCACCCGGUUCAGCACACGCCGAAACUCCCAGCGAAACAACCCACGACGCCAACCAACCCACAUCCCUCUAACUCCUCUCUUGCAGCCCAGGGGGAACCAGACACCGGCUGAAGUGCUGGUGCAGAACAGAAAUUUGCCUGUUUUUAAGGCUGAGCCCUGCGGGGUGGCCGGCAGCCCCACAGCGAUGCCCCCACAAAGCCAUCACGCAUCCUGCGGGCACAGGGCGAUCAGGCGUCCUGCUCCCGGCAGCGGGGUUCACGCACCCUCUGCAGCUUUCCCAUCCACACAAAUAUGUUAAUAAAAGAUCAGUUUGCAGACGCAGCUUGCUGUAGAUGACAGCAUUAGAGGCGCAUCUGUUUCUACUAAGCACCAGUCUCGUGCUGGGUUUAUUUGGUCCAUUUGCGGUGGGGAAGAGUUGCUUUCGGCAUUCAGAGAUGUCUCGUGUCUGGGAGAAGCGGGAGGGGGAGAUAUAUUUUUGGCUCUAUUUAACCACAAAAAUUUGGGUUUAGAAUAAAGAAAAAUAUUCGUGUUUUCUGUUUGCUGCCAAACCGAGGCAGACGAUUUCUUGUGCAAGCCUUCAUCUGUUUGUGAACUCAGUGUCCUGUUGGAAAAAUAAAUGUUCUGAUGGGAAAA